CCUACGGGGAGCAGCAGUAGGGAAUCUUCCACAAUGGGCGCAAGCCUGAUGGAGCAACACCGCGUGAGUGAAGAAGGGUUUCGGCUCGUAAAGCUCUGUUGUUGGAGAAGAAAGUGCGUGAGAGUAACUGUUCACGCAGUGACGGUAUCCAACCAGAAAGUGACGGCUAACUACGUGCCAGCAGCCGCGGUAAUACGUAGGUGGCAAGCGUUAGCCGGAUUUAUUGGGAGUAAAGCGAGCACAGGCGGGCGCUUAGGUCUGAUGUGAAAGCCUUCGGCUUAACCGAAGAAGUGCAUCGGAAACCGGGGGAGUUGAGUGCAGAAGAGGACAGUGGAACUCCAUGUGUAGCGGUGGAAUGCGUAGAUAUAUGGAAGAACACCAGUGGCGAAGGCAGCUGUCUGGGCUGCAACUGACGCUGAGGCUCGAAAGCAUGGGUAGCGAACAGGAUUAGAUACCCGGGUAGUC
RNAcentral lists this ribosomal RNA (465 nucleotides) under uncultured bacterium. RNAcentral describes it as "partial 16S ribosomal RNA". It matches the Rfam family "Bacterial small subunit ribosomal RNA", at positions 338 to 795 of the family's 1533-position model. The record is from RNAcentral.